CCAAUAGCGUAUAUUAAAGUUGUUGCAGUUAAAAAGCUCGUAGUUGAAUUUCGGGGUUCUACCGUUGGUCGGGCAAUUGUCUGUACUGGCGUGUGGAAUUUCUACCUUCUGGGGAACCAUCAUGUUAUUAAUUUAGCGUGGUGGGAAACCAGGACCUUUACCUUGAAAAAAUUAGAGUGUUCAAAGCAGGCUUACGUCUGAAUACAUUAGCAUGGAAUAAUAAAAUAGGACGGUGGUCCUGUUUUGUUGGUUUCUGAAUCACCGUAAUGAUUAAUAGGGAUAGUUGGGGGCAUUAGUAUUCAAUUGUCAGAGGUGAAAUUCUUGGAUUUAUUGAAGACUAACUUCUGCGAAAGCAUUUGCCAAGGAUGUUUUCAUUAAUCAAGAACGAAAGUUAGGGGAUCGAAGACGAUCAGAUACCGUCGUAGUCUUAACCAUAAACUAUGCCGACGAGGGAUCGGACGAUGUUAAUUUUUCUUGACUCGUUCGGCGCCUUACG
RNAcentral lists this ribosomal RNA (496 nucleotides) under uncultured Glomeromycotina. RNAcentral's name for it is "partial small subunit ribosomal RNA". It matches the Rfam family "Eukaryotic small subunit ribosomal RNA", at positions 591 to 1092 of the family's 1831-position model. The record is from RNAcentral. Lineage: Eukaryota; Fungi; Glomeromycota.